UACGGGGGGAGCAAGCGUUGUUCGGAUUUACUGGGCGUAAAGGGCGCGGUAGGCGGUCGUGACAAGUCACUUGUGAAAUCUCCGGGCUUAACUCGGAACGGUCAAGUGAUACUGUCGGACUAGAGUACAGAAGGGGCAACUGGAAUUCUCGGUGUAGCGGUGAAAAUGCGUAGAUAUCGAGAGGAACACCUGCGGCGAAGGCGGGUUGCUGGGCUGAUACUGACGCUGAGGCGCGACAGCGUGGGGAGCAAACAGG
Molecule: ribosomal RNA, 256 nt
Filed under: uncultured bacterium
Lineage: Bacteria
Description: partial 16S ribosomal RNA
Rfam family: Bacterial small subunit ribosomal RNA
Source: RNAcentral